Molecule: ribosomal RNA, 497 nt
Filed under: uncultured bacterium
Lineage: Bacteria
Description: partial 16S ribosomal RNA
Rfam family: Bacterial small subunit ribosomal RNA
Source: RNAcentral
GAUGAACGCUGGCGGCGUGCCUAAUACAUGCAAGUCGAGCGGACGGACGAGAAGCUUGCUUCUCUGAUGUUAGCGGCGGACGGGUGAUUAACACGUGGAUAACCGACCGAUAAGACUGGGAUAACUUCGGGAAACCUUAUCUAAUACCGGAUAAUAGUUUGAACCGCAUGGUUCAAAAGUGAAAGACGGUCUUGCUGUCACUUAUAGAUGUAUCCUCGCUGCAUUAGCUAGUUGGUAAGGUAACGGCUUACCAAGGCAACGAUGCAUAGCCGACCUGAGAGGGUGAUCGGCCACACUGGAACUGAGACACGGUCCAGACUCCUACGGGAGGCAGCAGUAGGGAAUAUUCCGCAAUGGGCGAAAGCCUGAUGCAGCAAUGCCGCGUGAGUGAUGAAGGUCUUCGGAUCGUAAAACUCUGUUAUUAGGGAAGAACAUAUGUGUAAGUAAAUGUGCCCAUCUUGACGGUACCUACUCAGAAAGCCACGGCUAACUACGUG